Non-coding RNA from Arachis ipaensis, 131 nucleotides. NCBI's taxonomy places the organism in Eukaryota, Viridiplantae, Streptophyta, Magnoliopsida, Fabales, Fabaceae. The record is from RefSeq and is a predicted model, not a curated record.
AGUUGUUGCUGCCGCUGGUUUGAAAUCGCAGCUGCUUCGUGUUAUUCCGUGUCGCUAUGGUUAUUGCGAAUGUGGCUUGAAGCUGAGGUUGCGGUUGUUGAUGAUUUCGGGUUGAGGCGGAAAGGACUCUG